RNAcentral lists this ribosomal RNA (447 nucleotides) under uncultured soil bacterium. Its description in RNAcentral is "bacterial SSU rRNA". It matches the Rfam family "Bacterial small subunit ribosomal RNA", at positions 26 to 518 of the family's 1533-position model. The record is from RNAcentral.
AGAGCGAACGCUGGCGGCAGGCCUAACACAUGCAAGUCGAACGGACCCUUCGGGGUUAGUGGCGGACGGGUGAGUAACACGUGGGAACGUGCCUUUUGGUUCGGAAUAGCUCCUGGAAACGGGUGGUAAUGCCGAAUGUGCCCUUCGGGGGAAAGAUUUAUCGCCAUUAGAGCGGCCCGCGUCUGAUUAGCUAGUUGGUGAGGUAAAGGCUCACCAAGGCUACGAUCAGUAGCUGGUCUGAGAGGAUGACCAGCCACAUUGGGACUGAGACACGGCCCAAACUCCUACGGGAGGCAGCAGUGGGGAAUCUUGCGCAAUGGGCGAAAGCCUGACGCAGCCAUGCCGCGUGAAUGAUGAAGGUCUUAGGAUUGUAAAAUUCUUUCGACCGGGACGAUAAUGACGGUACCCGGAGAAGAACGCCCGGACUAACUUCGUGCCAGCAGCCGC